RNAcentral lists this ribosomal RNA (506 nucleotides) under uncultured bacterium. Its description in RNAcentral is "partial 16S ribosomal RNA". It matches the Rfam family "Bacterial small subunit ribosomal RNA", at positions 29 to 523 of the family's 1533-position model. The record is from RNAcentral.
AGUGAACGCUGGCGGUAGGCCUAACACAUGCAAGUCGAACGGCAGCACAGGAGAGCUUGCUCUCUGGGUGGCGAGUGGUGGACGGGUGAGGAAUACAUCGGAAUCUACUUUUUCGUGGGGGAUAACGUAGGGAAACUUACGCUAAUACCGCAUACGACCUACGGGUGAAAGCAGGGGAUCUUCGGACCUUGCGCGAUUGAAUGAGCCGAUGUCGGAUUAGCUAGUUGGCGGGGUAAAGGCCCACCAAGGCGACGAUCCGUAGCUGGUCUGAGAGGAUGAUCAGCCACACUGGAACUGAGACACGGUCCAGACUCCUACGGGAGGCAGCAGUGGGGAAUAUUGGACAGUGGGCGCAAGCCUGAUCCAGCGAUACCGCGUGGGUGAAGAAGGCCUUCGGGUUGUAAAGCCCUUUUGUUGGGAAAGAAAUCCAGCUGGUUAAUACCCGGUUGGGAUGACGGUACCCAAAGAAUAAGCACCGGCUAACUUCGUGCCAGCCGCCGCCGUAA